CGGCUGCUCAGUAACACGUAGUCAACUUACCCUAUGGACGAGGAUAAUCUCGGGAAACUGAGCAUAAUACUUGAUAGAUCAUAAUGCCUGGUAUGGUUUAUGGUUGAAAUGAUUCAUCGCCAUAGGAUGGGACUGCGGCCUAUCAGCUUGUUGGUGAGGUAAUGGCCCACCAAGGCAAUUACAGGUACGGGCUCUGAGAGGAGAAGCCCGGAGAUGGGUACUGAGACAAGGACCCAGGCCCUAUGGGGCGCAGCAGGCGAGAAAACUUUGCAAUGUGCGAAAGCACGACAAGGUUAAUCCGAGUGAUUUCUGCUAAAGAAAUCUUUUGCAAGUCAUAAAACCACUAGUGAAUAAGGGGUGGGCAAGUUCUGGUGUCAGCCGCCGCGGUAAAACCAGCACCUCAAGUGGUCAGGAGGAUUAUUGGGCCUAAAGCAUCCGUAGCCGGCUCUGUAAGUUUUCGGUUAAAUCCAUGUGCUCAACGCAUGGGCUGCCGAAAAUACUGCAUAGCUAGGGAGUGGGAGAGGUAGACGGUACUCGGUAGGAAGGGGUAAAAUCCUUUGAUCUAUCGAUGACCACCUGUGGCGAAGGCGGUCUACCAGAACACGUUCGACGGUGAGGGAUGAAAGCUGGGGGAGCAAACCGGAUUAGAUACCCGGGUAGUCCCAGCUGUAAACGAUGCAGACUCGAUGAUGCAUUGGCAUAUAGCCAGUGCAGUGUCGCAGGGAAGCCGUUAAGUCUGCCGCCUGGGAAGUACGUACGCAAGUAUGAAACUUAAAGGAAUUGGCGGGGGAGCAG
This 795-nucleotide ribosomal RNA is filed under the name uncultured marine thaumarchaeote. RNAcentral describes it as "bacterial SSU rRNA". It matches the Rfam family "Archaeal small subunit ribosomal RNA", at positions 83 to 879 of the family's 1478-position model. Lineage: Archaea; Thermoproteati; Nitrososphaerota. The record is from RNAcentral.